Long non-coding RNA from Oreochromis aureus, 776 nucleotides. The record is from Ensembl. Lineage: Eukaryota; Metazoa; Chordata; Actinopteri; Cichliformes; Cichlidae.
GGCACUCAGUCAGAGGUUGGCUCUCCGUUUCGCUGCAGGGUCCCUUCAUUCUUCACAUAUCCGUGUCGAGCCGAGUGUAAAUCCCGACGCUGAACGGCCUUUGUACAAGCACACACGCUUCGUAGCAGGGAGAAGCUAUGAGCUAGAAAAAUCCAGCCUGGCAGACAGCCUGUGUCUGACCAACCAAUCAGAGAGCUCCUUACAUCCCACGGUGUGGCUAAUUUGAAUAGCCUCCAGCAAGUUGUUAAUCGAAGAGCUAAUCCAGCAGCUAAUCCAGGAGCUAAUCCAGCAGCUAAUCCCGGAGCGAACAGGAAAGGGAAAUGGAUUUUGAACUGCAGUUUAUUAAAUUGCAAGUGGAAAAAGGAUUUUGAACUGCAGUUUAUUAAAUUGCAGGUGGAAAAAGGAUUUUGACCUGCAGUUUAUUAAAUUGCAAGUGGAAAAAGGAUUUUGAACUGCAGUUUAUUAAAUUGCAAGUGGAAAAAGGAUUUUGAACUGCAGUUUAUUAAAUUGCAGGUGGAAAAAGGAUUUUGAACUGCAGUUUAUUAAAUUGCAAGUGGAAAAAGGAUUUUGAACUGCAGUUUAUUAAAGUGCAACUGAAAAAAGGAUUUUAAAAUGCAGUUUAUUAAAGUGCAAUUGGAAAAAGGAUUUUGAAAUGCAAUUGGAAAAAGGAUUUUGAAAUGCAGUUUAUUAAAUUGGAAUUCAAAAAUGAAUUUACAAUUGCAGAAUUUAUUCUACAAUUCAUUAUUAAAGCACAGAGAUUUUUAUUUCAAUGCGCG